ACGGCGAUCAAGCCAACGGAGGUUAAGCCCUUAGGUGAAACGUCAUUAACUAGCCACGUACUCUUCUUUAUAUUGUAAUGGCGCUUACUGCCAGUUGGCAUUAAAAAGGUUUUAAUUUAAUUUUAGGUUUGAGUAAAAAUGAUUUUUAAAUGGUGUACAUUAAAAUUCUUUUGACAAGCUUAAAAUUGUAAUGAACCCCAAAAUUGUAUAACACGCUGCUGCGUUUUGCGUCUAAAAUGGUACUGGCAUCAUGCUGUAUCUUUUAUUGCUAUCAAUUCGUAGAUCUUCAAAAUAGAUGCUUCAUUUUAUACGAAAAUAGAGAACAAGUGUGGUGGUAAUUGUUACAAUUUGUGUCAGAAAAUAUUCAGAUUUUACUCGUUGAAAGUUAAAUUAGUUCAUUAUUACAAAUUGUACCUCUACUAGCUAUAUUUUUUGAUACAAUUUGUUGUUACUAGACACCGAGUUGGGGAAGAAUAAUAAAUUAGCUAAUACAACAGUUGCGUGUCAUAUAUUUACAAAAAUCUAAGUACAGUGUUGUAGAUUUUCCUAUUAAUAAGUUUUUUUCAGUGUAAGAAUAUACCUACACACCAACCCUCCUCCUCUCCGAAACAACAAAAGAAAAGAAGGGAGGGUUUUCUUUCUUUUGCUCUCACAUGCACGUUCUCCAAACAGCACACUCACUCACACACACAUCCAGCCAGCUUUCCCGUCCUUUCCAUGCGUCGACCACUAUACAAAACUCCUCAAGAUAUUUCCCCCUACGACAAACCGUUUUCUGAUAUACCGUUGUUCGUUUCCUUACAGAUCUGCCCCCCUCGCCGCCACGCCGCCCCCACUCUCUUAUCGGUAGAUGGCGCAGCACGCAAGCCCGUUCUCCCGCCGCCGCCAACUUGGACGAAACUGUUUGCCAGUGCCCGUUCUCAGUCGCACGACGCAGUCCCACUGGAGCAUGGCUCGCUCCACGGAGAAGGUCUUUGAUCUUGCAGUUGGAUUGAUGGCCAUGUGCUCCAACACACACAGACAGAACUUGGCACUUGUUCCCUCAGCCAGAUGUACUUGUCGUUGACAUCGACGAUCCGGAUGACAGUGAUGAUGCAGUGCGUGAUCGUGUUUUUAUUUCAUUUAAUUUCGUACAUGUGGAAAUCGACUGGAUUGUAUUCGUAAUUUUAGUGCAACGCUUUGACUCUGCUGUUGCGCGCGUGGUGUUCAACAGGGCAUCGUAAUUAUCUAAAAUGAUAUUUUACACAAAUAGGAGUCAUUAGGAUCUAUAAAAUUCUUGCUGCAGAUUAUUCAAGAAAUGACAGAUUACAUCGUAAUUGGGAUUAUGAUUAUAAAUGGUUUGGUGUUAUGGAUGAAAUUAAAAGUGUUGUCCUGUAUACUUAGUAACUGAUUUAGUU
Sitophilus oryzae (rice weevil) is the source of this 1397-nucleotide long non-coding RNA. RefSeq lists it as uncharacterized. The transcript has 3 exons. Lineage: Eukaryota; Metazoa; Arthropoda; Insecta; Coleoptera; Curculionidae. The record is from RefSeq and is a predicted model, not a curated record.